GAGUUUGAUCCUGGCUCAGGACGAACGCUGGCGGCGUGCUUAACACAUGCAAGUCGAACGAAGCGCUUAAACGGAUUUCUUCGGAUUGAAGUUUUUGUGACUGAGUGGCGGACGGGUGAGUAACGCGUGGGUAACCUGCCUCAUACAGGGGGAUAACAGUUAGAAAUGACUGCUAAUACCGCAUAAGCGCACAGUGCUGCAUGGCACAGUGUGAAAAACUCCGGUGGUAUGAGAUGGACCCGCGUCUGAUUAGCUAGUUGGUGGGGUAACGGCCUACCAAGGCGACGAUCAGUAGCCGGCCUGAGAGGGUGAACGGCCACAUUGGGACUGAGACACGGCCCAAACUCCUACGGGAGGCAGCAGUGGGGAAUAUUGCACAAUGGGGGAAACCCUGAUGCAGCGACGCCGCGUGAGCGAAGAAGUAUUUCGGUAUGUAAAGCUCUAUCAGCAGGGAAGAAAAUGACGGUACCUGACUAAGAAGCACCGGCUAAAUACGUGCCAGCAGCCGCGGUAAUACGUAUGGUGCAAGCGUUAUCCGGAUUUACUGGGUGUAAAGGGAGCGUAGACGGUUGUGUAAGUCUGAUGUGAAAGCCCGGGGCUCAACCCCGGGACUGCAUUGGAAACUAUGUAACUAGAGUGUCGGAGAGGUAAGCGGAAUUCCUAGUGUAGCGGUGAAAUGCGUAGA
RNAcentral lists this ribosomal RNA (685 nucleotides) under uncultured bacterium. Its description in RNAcentral is "bacterial SSU rRNA". It matches the Rfam family "Bacterial small subunit ribosomal RNA", at positions 9 to 694 of the family's 1533-position model. The record is from RNAcentral.